UAAAGCAAGAAAGGGCGUAUGGGGAAUGCCUAGGCACACUCCGGCGAAGAAGGACGCAGCAAACAGCGAAAUGCGACGGUGAGCGGUAAGCACGUGAAGAGCCGUCGAUAUCCGAAUGGGGGAACCCCCACGGAGUCAUAUCCGUGUAUCACAUGUCGAAUACAUAGACAUGAUGAGGCGAGACGCAGGGAACUGAAACAUCUAAGUACCUGCAGGAAGAGAAAAUAAGAAUGAUUUUCUGAGUAGCGGCGAGCGAAAGGGAAAGAGCCCAAACCGAUUUGAGGAUCGGGGUAGUAGGAUCAUCGAUAAAUCAAACAGAGGAUCAUAGAGGAAUCACAUGGGAAGGUGAGCGAGAGAGGGUGAGAGCCCCGUACUCGAAAUGAGAGACUGGAGAGAGAUGACACCUGAGUAGGGCGGGACACGAGAAAUCCUGUCUGAAUCAGCCGGGACCAUCCGGCAAGGCUAAAUACGAGAGAGUGACCGAUAGUGAACCAGUACCGUGAGGGAAAGGUGAAAAGAACCCCGGGAGGGGAGUGAAAGAGAACCUGAAACCAUAUGCCUACAAGAAGUCAGAGCCCGUUAAAGGGUGAUGGCGUGCCUUUUGUAGAAUGAACCGGCGAGUUACUGUAUGGAGCGAGGUUAAGCAGGAUAUGCGGAGCCGAAGCGAAAGCGAGUCUUAAGAGGGCGCGAGUUGCAUGCAGUAGACCCGAAACCGGGUGAUCUAGCCAUGACCAGGUUGAAGUUGGGGUAAAACCCGAUGGAGGACCGAACCGACCCCCGUUGAAACGUUGGCGGAUGAGUUGUGGCUAGGGGUGAAAUUCCAAUCGAACCCGGAGAUAGCUGGUUCUCCCCGAAAUAGCUUUAGGGCUAGCGUCGAGAGAAGAGUUGCGUGAAGGUAGAGCACUGAAUAUGUGAUGGCCCCAUCUCGGGGUACUGAGCAUAAUCAAACUGCGAAUGUCACGCCAACAUGCUCGGCAGUCAGACAGCGGGUGAUAAGGUCCGUUGUCAAGAGGGAAACAGCCCAGACCAUCAGCUAAGGUCCCAAAAUGUAUGCUAAGUGGAAAAGGAUGUGGAGAUGUACAGACAACUAGGAGGUUGGCUCAGAAGCAGCCAUCCUUUAAAGAGUGCGUAACAGCUCACUAGUCGAAUGACUCUGCGCCGAUAAUUUACCGGGGCUAAGCAUACUACCGAAGCUAUGGAUCCCAAGGGAUGGUAGGGGAGCGUUCCAUGAACGGAGAAGUACGACCGAAAGGACGUGUGGAGAUCAUGGAAGAGAGAAUGCCGGUGUGAGUAGCGGAACGUGGGUGAGAAUCCCACGCACCGAAAACCCAAGGUUUCCAGAGGAAGGUUCGUCCGCUCUGGGUAAGUCGGGACCUAAGGCGAGGCCGAAAGGCGUAGUCGAUGGACAACAGGUAGAGAUUCCUGUACCCGUAUAUAUGUGAAGGAAUGACGGAGAGAGGAAGCUGCAGCCAGCGGCUGGAAGAGCUGGUGCAAGCGAGAUAUCGGGAUGGCAGGCAAAUCCACCAUCCGAAACGAGAAGGCGUGAAGCGUACGGAAAGCUACGGCGAGUACGGAAGGCAGUGGAGGAACUUCCAAGAAAAGUUUCUAACGUUAAGUAUAUAUGGCCCGUACCGAAAAUGGACACACAUGGGUGAGGAGAGAAUCCUAAGGUGAGCGAGAGAACUAUAGCUAAGGAACUCUGCAAAAUGACUCCGUAACUUAGGGAGAAGGAGUGCUCAUAGAGAUAUGAGCCGCAGUGAAACGGCCCAAGCGACUGUUUACCAAAAACACAGCUCUCUGCUAAGCCGCAAGGCGAAGUAUAGGGGGUGACGCCUGCCCGGUGCUGGAAGGUUAAGGGGAGGGGUUAACGCAAGUGAAGCCCUGAACUGAAGCCCCAGUAAACGGCGGCCGUAACUAUAACGGUCCUAAGGUAGCGAAAUUCCUUGUCAGGUAAGUUCUGACCCG
This 1965-nucleotide ribosomal RNA is filed under the name human gut metagenome. RNAcentral's name for it is "bacterial LSU rRNA". It matches the Rfam family "Bacterial large subunit ribosomal RNA", at positions 1 to 1990 of the family's 2925-position model. The record is from RNAcentral.